This 301-nucleotide ribosomal RNA is filed under the name uncultured bacterium. RNAcentral describes it as "partial 16S ribosomal RNA". It matches the Rfam family "Bacterial small subunit ribosomal RNA", at positions 509 to 808 of the family's 1533-position model. The record is from RNAcentral.
CAGUAGCCGCGGUAAUACGUAGGUCCCGAGCGUUGUCCGGAUUUAUUGGGCGUAAAGCGAGCGCAGGCGGUUAGAUAAGUCUGAAGUUAAAGGCUGUGGCUUAACCAUAGUACGCUUUGGAAACUGUUUAACUUGAGUGCAAGAGGGGAGAGUGGAAUUCCAUGUGUAGCGGUGAAAUGCGUAGAUAUAUGGAGGAACACCGGUGGCGAAAGCGGCUCUCUGGUCUGUAACUGACGCUGAGGCUCGAAAGCGUGGGGAGCAAACAGGAUUAGAUACCCCCGUAGUCCCUGUCUCUUAUACA